RNAcentral lists this ribosomal RNA (257 nucleotides) under uncultured prokaryote. RNAcentral describes it as "partial 16S ribosomal RNA". It matches the Rfam family "Bacterial small subunit ribosomal RNA", at positions 524 to 780 of the family's 1533-position model. The record is from RNAcentral.
UACGUAGGGCGCAAGCGUUGUCCGGAAUUAUUGGGCGUAAAGAGCUUGUAGGUGGCUUGUCGCGUCUGCUGUGAAAACCCGAGGCUCAACCUCGGGCCUGCAGUGGGUACGGGCAGACUAGAGUGCGGUAGGGGAGAUUGGAACUCCUGGUGUAGCGGUGGAAUGCGCAGAUAUCAGGAAGAACACCGAUGGCGAAGGCAGAUCUCUGGGCCGUAACUGACGCUGAGGAGCGAAAGCAUGGGGAGCGAACAGGAUUA